GUGGCCCUACGGGGCGCAGCAGUCGGGAAUAUUGCGCAAUGGAGGAAACUCUGACGCAGUGACGCCGCGUGCAGGAAGAAGGUUUUCGGAUUGUAAACUGCUUUAGACAGGGAAGAAAGAAAAUGACGGUACCUGACUAAGAAGCCCCGGCUAACUACGUGCCAGCAGCCGCGGUAAUACGUAGGGGGCAAGCGUUAUCCGGAUUUACUGGGUGUAAAGGGAGCGUAGACGGCAGCGCAAGUCUGGAGUGAAAUGCCGGGGCCCAACCCCGGAACUGCUCUGGAAACUGUGAAGCUGGAG
Molecule: ribosomal RNA, 300 nt
Filed under: uncultured bacterium
Lineage: Bacteria
Description: bacterial SSU rRNA
Rfam family: Bacterial small subunit ribosomal RNA
Source: RNAcentral